This is a non-coding RNA of Clarias gariepinus (North African catfish), 417 nucleotides long. The record is from the annotation of a RefSeq genome assembly. Lineage: Eukaryota; Metazoa; Chordata; Actinopteri; Siluriformes; Clariidae.
AUGUUCUCUACAUCUCUACUGCUCUUGCUGGCAGCUGCUUCCUAUGUCCAUGGUUAUGAACUGACUCAGCCUGAUGCCAUGACAGUCCAGCCAGGCCAGAGUCUCUCCAUCCCCUGUAAGGUUUCAUAUUCAGUUACAAGCUAUACUACAGCUUGGAUCCGACAACCUGCAGGAAAAGCUCUGGAGUGGAUUGGAUAUAUCACUAGUGGUGGGAGUACAGCUUACAGUGAAAAACUGAAAAACAAGUUCAGCAUCUCCAGAGACACUUCUACUAACACAAUAAAAAUUCAAGGACAGAAUCUGCAAACUGAAGACACAGCUGUGUAUUACUGCACUGAUUACGGAGAUUUGGCAAUGCCCACGUACAUGCCUCACGUACCCCGCCCAACACAGUCUCAUCUCAGAAAGAAUUUCUGA